UUGCUACAUCAUAACAACCUACUUCCUUUUUUAAUAGAACUCCUGUUUCCAGUCACAUAAUUGAUGAAAAAGUGUAGAGCAAUAUCCCCUGUGUUUGCCUUGCUUUGCCUUCUCUCAUGUGAACCAAACACCUUGGUUUGUAAUGAGAAGUAGAAACAUGCCCUUCUCAGCUUCAAACAACUUCUCUCUGAUCCUGCAAACCAACUCUAAUUCUCAUCUCGAUCUGCUGAUCAGGAAGAUUGCUGUGGGUGGAUAGGAGUCCACUGCCAUAACAUCAGUGGUCAUGAAGUCACGGAGCUCCACCUCCACGGUUUUGGAUUGGGCGGCAAGGUUAGUCCUGCUCUGCUGCAACUAAAUUUUUUUAAUUACUUGGACUUGAGCUCCAUUGAGUUUGGAGGUGCUCCAGUUCCAAGUUUCUUGGGUUCCAUGCGGAGUUUAACAUACCUGAUGGACUAGUCCCCCCUCAGCUUGGAAAUCUUUCCGAUCUUCAUUACCUCAGUCUAGGGUUCCCAGAAUUAUACUGAUAUUCUUCAUGGCUUAUAUGUUUGAGGCCCUCAGUUGGAUUUCUCGUAUCUUCUUUGCAAAACCUAUCUAUGGUUGAAGUCGACCUUUACAGGGAAGUUCAUUCUUUUGAAUAUAUCUAUGCUAUCUUUACUUGUCCGAUUGUGAACUUGAUAGCAUGAGUCCGUCGCUCGGUGAACUCUUAUCCACCCACGGCAAUCUUCCUCUGCAGUCCAAGAUGAGAGUCAGUUGGUUUGCGGGGUCUGAGAGAGCUUGUUUGAAGCUAAGCAGGGCAUUUUUCUGCUUCUCAUUGCAAACCAAGGUGUUUGGUUCACGUGAGGAUAGGAAGCAAAGCAAGGGAACCACAAGGAAUAUUGCUCUACACUCUCUCAUCAUCAAUUAUGUGAUUGGAAACAGGACUACCAUUCAGAAAGGAAUUAAGUAGAGGUUCUUGGGAAGGAGGUUCAGAAGCCGAGGAGGGUUACUCUGAGUAGGUGGGACAAUUUCUAUCUCUCUACUGAUCAGGUGCAGUAUGCUUGUGUUGAUGCUUUUCUUUCCCCCGAGAUUGGGAAUUUGGGACGACCCUAAAUGCAUCUCUGUUAGAAAAAUUAUAGUGGGUUUUGCGGGGUUCUGCUAAUUUUUCGAGAUUUUCAAGGAGAAAUGAUGAUGGUUGUUAGAUGAUUUCUGGACUUUUUAGGCAUUCAAUGUUUGGGAUAUCCCUACAAUACAGUACCUAUUUGUGUGGAGAUUGUAUUAAUUUGCUUGCCUGUGUUUUCAUUUGUUAGAUGUUGAUGGGCGUAUAUAGUUUUUGUUUAUGUGGGCAAUACGAAUUUGGGGUAAUGAAGGAGAUGGAGGUCGGUGGGGAGGGGGCAGUUGCUGGUGGCUGGUGCUUGACACCUUUGAAAACCAUUUGGAGUACUUUUAUUGUGACCUCGAAUCAGGGAAAAUAACCACUCGCUUUCAAGUUAUUUACAAAUUGGGGGCAGUAGUAGAGUGGGAGAAGCUGGCUGUGGUGGUAGGUGGAGGCAUUUUAGCAGUAAUGGAGGUGAAGCUGGAUUUUAGGUUUCAAGCAGGGGAAACGCCAACGACGAAUAUCAAAGAAGUUUACUACUUCUAAAGGUCUGUCAAGACCCGGCGGUCAGACCGUAGAACGGACGCACCGUCCGAUUUUCUGGAAACCGGCCAACUUGUGGUUUCGGCCAAAUCCACCGUGGCCUUUUCUCCUCAUUCGGCCCAUACUCCCCCUGCUAACCGGCCCAUUACCCAGCCUUCUUUUUGCUUGUACCUGUAAGUGUAGGUAACCCGCAUGAAGAGGAUUUGAAAGUGGGUUGUACAACCAGUAUACUACACAAUCCUUUAAAUUAAUAUAUAGUUUACAUACUAUAUU
Long non-coding RNA from Vitis riparia (riverbank grape), 1888 nucleotides. RefSeq lists it as uncharacterized. The transcript has 2 exons. The record is from RefSeq and is a predicted model, not a curated record. Lineage: Eukaryota; Viridiplantae; Streptophyta; Magnoliopsida; Vitales; Vitaceae.